AUCUCUGUGAUGAAUCGCCAUCUUGAGACUGUGCUCGAGUAUUUUCUUAUCCGCGGUCUCCGCUGCCCUCGCCACAAAGCGACCAAUUGCGUCGUCACGGUCGUCGGUGUAAUAGACACAGGUGUUGGUGUGUCUAGUCACCGCGACUACAGCGUGCGAAACGCUGUCGUGGAUCCUGAGCCUCCUCGCCUUCGUCUGGAGGACAAUGACGUCCUCGUAGGUCUGGCCCUGCGCCUCAUGGAUAGUUAAGACGGACCCGUAUCCCUGGUCAGUCAGCAAUCUCUUCUCCUCUUGCGUAAAAACCGGAUACAAGGUCCGGUCCCUUCCUACAAGAAUGCGCGCGCCCGUGAGGCUCUCCACUUGCAAAGAUCGGAUCUUUGUGCUUGAGCUGUACACGGUCUUGUAAACCUCACUGAUGGCAAAGGCGACGUCUUUGGGAUUACGAUGCGUGCAUGACAACUCACAUGAGAUGGUUGUUAACAGGGUUGGUCUGCGGUAUCGCAUUUCGAACAGGUUGUCCCUGUCGAUGUACGGCAGCUGAUUUAUAUCUCCAAUGAGGACUACCUUCUCUGCUCCCGAUAGUCGGGCGGCCAUUACUAUGGCUCCGAAAUGGUUCAUGAGGGCUUCGUCCGGGGGUUAAUUUCGUUAGCACCAUACACCUCCUCUCGAAACAAUAUUGAUGUUAUACUAUAAGUAUUAUUCAAAAGGUAUUGAACUCUAAAAAAAAAGUGACAAAAUGUUUUAUAGUGUACUUAGCUGACCCCGCAAACGAUUCUUUGCCAUAUAUGUUAUUAACCCGCUUAAUUCCCCCCCCCCUUAUAACUUAGGGGUAUGAAAAAUAGAUGUUGGCCGAUUCUCAGACCUACCCGAUAUGCCCACAAAAUUUUAUUAAAAUCGGUCGAGCCGUUUCGGAGGAGUUCAAUGUUUAACACCGUGACACGAGAAUUUUAUAUAUUAAAAAUUUAAGUUGAUAUUAAUAAUUUAUUUGAAGUUAUUUCGGCAAAAAAUAUUCUUUUAUAUUAGAGUUCCUUCGUAUAAACGUUCCUAGUUUUCUGCCACCCGAUUUAUGGAAAAAUAAAAUUUCCUCAACUUUAUGAAAUUUUCCCAAUUACCUAUAUCCCCUUAUGUUAUCGUGCGUCGUAUAUAUUUUAUGUGAAUAAUAUUUUAUUUUUUUAUUCUUAGGUAAAUUUUUAC
This 1194-nucleotide unclassified non-coding RNA is filed under the name Melitaea cinxia (Glanville fritillary). Its description in RNAcentral is "misc RNA ENSMCXG00005013416.1". Lineage: Eukaryota; Metazoa; Arthropoda; Insecta; Lepidoptera; Nymphalidae. The record is from RNAcentral.